Mastomys coucha (southern multimammate mouse) is the source of this 510-nucleotide long non-coding RNA. RefSeq lists it as uncharacterized. The record is from RefSeq and is a predicted model, not a curated record. NCBI's taxonomy places the organism in Eukaryota, Metazoa, Chordata, Mammalia, Rodentia, Muridae. The transcript is spliced from 3 exons.
CAGGCUUGAGAUUAUAUUUACAAAACUACUUAAACAUCUGUACGCCUCUCUCAUCUCGGCCUCCUCGUGUUAAGCGAACUUCAUCGAAGAAAUGUAACUUAGAUGUGAUAAUUUGAGCACCUGCUGCCGGCCGCCUCGCGAUGGCGCUGCUUCCUGCUCUGAUCUAGCGAGCGGAUCCCGCUGCAGGAGUGAAACAGCAGGGUUUAAACAAGACCUGGAAUAAUUGAAUGGAACGACAGGGUGCAAGACCAACCGCCAGGAGACCAGUGUUUGGUUUGAAGCAGACAGCAUGGUGCCCUACAUCCUGGAUUGUUGCUACAGAUUUGAGGCCAGCUUGGGCUGCAUAAUGAUUUCCAGACCAGCCUCAGCUACAGAGUAAGACAAUUCUGGGAAAUGGCGGGUACAUUAUUAACUAACAGUGCAAGGGACACUUCUGUACGCUUUGAUUUUUUGCUAGGUGUGAGCAAAUAAUAACAAGGUGCACUCUAAUAAAAGUCAAAUAAAUGGCUA